GAUGAAUGCUGGCGGCGUGCCUAAUACAUGCAAGUCGAGCGAAUGGAUUAAGAGCUUGCUCUUAUGAAGUUAGCGGCGGACGGGUGAGUAACACGUGGGUAACCUGCCCAUAAGACUGGGAUAACUCCGGGAAACCGGGGCUAAUACCGGAUAACAUUUUGAACCGCAUGGUUCGAAAUUGAAAGGCGGCUUCGGCUGUCACUUAUGGAUGGACCCGCGUCGCAUUAGCUAGUUGGUGAGGUAACGGCUCACCAAGGCAACGAUGCGUAGCCGACCUGAGAGGGCGAUCGGCCACACUGGGACUGAGACACGGCCCAGACUCCUACGGGAGGCAGCAGUAGGGAAUCUUCCGCAAUGGACGAAAGUCUGACGGAGCAACGCCGCGUGAGUGAUGAAGGCUUUCGGGUCGUAAAACUCUGUUGUUAGGGAAGAACAAGUGCUAGUUGAAUAAGCUGGCACCUUGACGGUACCUAACCAGAAAGCCACGGCUAACUACGUGCCAGCAGCCGCGGUAA
This 515-nucleotide ribosomal RNA is filed under the name uncultured bacterium. RNAcentral describes it as "partial 16S ribosomal RNA". It matches the Rfam family "Bacterial small subunit ribosomal RNA", at positions 28 to 523 of the family's 1533-position model. The record is from RNAcentral.